This 437-nucleotide ribosomal RNA is filed under the name uncultured bacterium. RNAcentral describes it as "bacterial SSU rRNA". It matches the Rfam family "Bacterial small subunit ribosomal RNA", at positions 42 to 473 of the family's 1533-position model. The record is from RNAcentral.
UCAGGCCUAACACAUGCAAGUCGAACGGCAGCACGGGUGCUUGCACCUGGUGGCGAGUGGCGAACGGGUGAGUAAUAUAUCGGAACGUAUCCAAUAAUGGGGGAUAACUAAUCGAAAGGUUGGCUAAUACCGCAUACGCCCUACGGGGGAAAGCUGGGGACCUUCGGGCCUGGCGUUAAUGGAGCGGCCGAUAUCUGAUUAGCUAGUUGGUGAGGUAAGAGCUCACCAAGGCGACGAUCAGUAGCUGGUCUGAGAGGACGACCAGCCACACUGGAACUGAGACACGGUCCAGACUCCUACGGGAGGCAGCAGUGGGGAAUUUUGGACAAUGGGCGCAAGCCUGAUCCAGCCAUUCCGCGUGAGUGAAGGAGGCCUUCGGGUUGUAAAGCUAUUGCGCAAGGGAAGAAAACUUACCCUCUAACAUAGGGUGAGGUGAC